UCCUCUCAGGAAAUCCUCAGGAGCUGAGGGGAGGAUUUGGUGAUCUACAGGUGUUCUUCUGCUCCAAUCCAGAUUCUGCCCUUUGAAUGAUGCAGAACUGAGAUGGGAGGCUCGAAGGUUCUGGGAGAGUAGGCUGCAAAGCCAUCGCAUGCAGCUUCAGAGACAUUGCCUUUCUCCCCCUACACCUUCCAAUGGGGGCAAGAAUCUGCACCUUGGAUUGGAGUUUCUCCCUGGGUAACAGAUAACUCAUGCUACAAGUAACCCCUCUGGAGCUGGUGGUUCCUGACAUAUUGCACUAAGCCUGGAGGGCACUUGCCCCUGGGCUACAGCAGUGAUGGCUGCAGAGCUCAGGAUCCCGCUUCCCAGAAGGCCUAGAAUGCAGGAGGGGGAGAUAGAACAUGCUGGAAGCUAUCACCAGAGCCAAUCAGAAGCCAGGACUCAGAGACAAAGGGGUUGUCUUACAUUUGUUUGUUGGCUGUUGAUGGAGUGGAGCAGAGAGUGAAGCAUCACAGCCUGGGAGGUCACCAUUGACUUUCCCACUCUUAUACAAAAGGAGACUUUGAACCCUACUGGUGGCUACUGGGCCACAUAUGUCAGCCCAGCAAAGACCAGCAACCUGGGGGCUGAGGAGUGAUUCGUGGUCAGGCUACCGAGAGCUACCCGAAUUGUCCGCUAGACUGUAGAGCAGGGAGCCUCAAGACCAUCCCUUCCAGGGUGAAGAUCUUUUCUAGGAUGGACAUACUAAGAAGGAUUCUAAGGAGGAAGUUCCUCAGGUGGCCCUGGAGCCAGAGUGAGGCAGCUGUCAGUGACCACAGUCAGACAGUGACCCCUCGGCCCCUACUGGGGGGGGAAAGCAGCUCCCAGCCAGUCCAGGAGAUGGACAAGCCCGAUCUUCCUCACCAGAAGGAGACCAGCUCCCAGAGCAAGUCUGAGGGGGGAGAGGCCGCAUCCAGGCUGAGAUGGAGGUGGCCCAAGUUGUGUCUGAGCAAGCAGGAACCAGUGCAAGAUGGGAGCUGGCAACAGGCAUCACCCUCUCCCCGAUGCAAUGACUCCCAGUGACCAGUUGCAGGAGGAGGAGACAGAUCUGAUCACGGAGGAUGCUGCCAGGAAGGUUGUCAUGGAGCAUCUCCAGGGUGGAGGCAAGCUGGGUUCAGGAUGUGGCUGAGCAGAUCCAGUUCCUGCAUGCCAUCUCCCCCAUGUAUUUCACCACACAGAAGAGCGAGCAGGACACUCUGGAGCCACCCUGCUCCAAAGCAGCCCUGGUGGAGAAGAUUGCAGAGCUGACUGAGGAGCUGCCCUUGGACUCUGCGCUCAACUCCAUCCUCUCCUGCUCCCAGAACUGUCCGAGUUCCCCCAGAUGUGGUGCCUCGUGGCACAGCUGGGACUCUACAUCACGGACCCAGCAAAGGAUAUCAGCCAGCAGGCCAGGGAUGAGAUCUACUGGCUGUACCAGCUGCUGCUGCACUGGAGCAGCAAGCAAUCCCAGCAGUGCAUUGGGACCCUAUAGACAUGAGCCCCCUGAUCUGAGACUGACCCCAGCUAGAUGAUGAGUUCAUCUCUUCCCUCUGCCAUUAGGAGCGAAUGUGAGGGAAAGUGCUAAUGAAACCAGGUCUCUUACCCCAGAGCCCAGCUCUGUCCCCUCACCCUGGGGAAAUGACCCCCCCUUGGGUCUGCCAGCUGGGCAGGGCACAGGAGAGGAGCUGCUGGGAGACAUGGAGGGAAAGGAGCCAAAGUGAAGGGAGGGGGGCAGUAGCAUGGGCCACAGGGUAGGGACACCAGACUGGGGGUGGUGCCAGUUGGUACCGAGGGCCAGAGCCUGAUCCCAGUGGGAGCGGGAGGGUUCAGCAUUUGGCCCCAUCAUUAUAGGGAGCCAAUCCCAGAGCCUAAAGACUGAAGGGGUCACAUGAUUCCUGUGAUGGGCCCCCUGGAUACUUCACCCCUGGAAGGAGCCCUGCUCUUCCAUUGGCCAUGGAUGUAGCAAAAGACUUGACCACUGCACUGCCACCAAUGGGAAUGGAAGGAAACGAGCACCAAAACUGGAAUGACAAGUUGGACCCAUGUCUUUCUGUCCCCGAGGACUGAGCAUCCAAGAGGCCAGAGAGCUGUGGAGCAAGGAUGGGCCCCAAGAGUCCUGGCUCCUGACCUACGUGAACACAGCAAGGUGGGGCAGGUGAGGGCACUUAGCCAGGGAAUUGCAUGAGCUUAGCACAGGAGCUCUCUGCAGCAGCUGCAUCCUAGAUUCAGGACAAGAGUCUGCUACUUAUUCCCAGCUUGUGGCGUUCCUCUUUCAGCCCUGGGAGGAAGUUAGUGCUGAAGUACCAGAGUUGGAGCCUUCCUAAUGGCUGAGGUUUGUGUGUUACAUGGAUUCACAGCUAUGUGGCAUAAAGACAGUCCCUGGGAGGGUGAGUUAACACAGUGUUGUACCUCUAGGGACUCGGGUCCCAACACUGUCUCCCUGGCUGGUAUCCGAGUGUAUGGUACUGCACCAUAGGAAAGGCUCAUGGGAAUGGGACCUGACAGAGUCACCUUGCCCUUGUCAGAUUGAAGUUUGGAUUCCCUGUCGAACAAACCCAUGAGCUGCAGAUGCCAGAUCCAGUUACUGGAGAAAUCACUCAUGGGAGGGCACUCAAAUCUUGGGCUGUCAUCUCCAAAAGCCCCAGGUCUCUAGUGACUGAGCUCCAGGAGAUCUCACUCCUGGGAGCAGUGGUAAGUCCCAUAUGGUCUCUGUCAGCUACACUUGAGAGCAUGGCAUGCUCUCACACAGAUACAUUCCUAAUAUGGCAUGGGCCUUGCAAUGAGUCCUGCUCCAGAAAGAGCCAUUAGAGCCUUUUGUAACCUUUGUCAGUGAAGGGUCUUCCCUGAAACCUGGGACUCCAAAGGGACUCCAGGAGAACUAGCUGCCUUGGCCACAGUGGAUCUCUACCUGUCCUUUAAGGAAGCUAUGGAAUGAUACCCUUCCAGCCUGAGGAUGUGGAGCUGAGCUCUGGGCAUACCCAGAGAAGGUGUCCUGGGACCUGGACAAUGUUGUUUCCUGCAGGACAUUUCAACAAUAAUCAUAGGUAGAGAUCAUGUCUUUUGUACAUCUUCACUGAUACCCUUUUCUGCUUUUCAACUCUACUUGUUCCAAGACAAACCAACCCUUCAUCUCCCAGACUCCUGAUUUCCUGCCAUAUGAUGGCAGAAUGAUAUGCAUGCUUUUCUCCCACCCCCACCAUUUUCUUAGGGGAAUUUCUCUAGAGCAGUGGAGAAAUGUCCUCUCCUCAUAGAACCAAGCCCUCACUAAUUCCACCAGUACUGGCCUCAUCUGAACUGCUUUGUUUACCUGGGAGUGUGGUCAUCUUCAGAAAAUCCUGUGUGUGUGGAGGUGGGGGCAGUAGUUUUCCCUUAAGAAUACUACCCUUUCUUUCCAUGGUCUAUCUAGGAUCCACCAUCCAACAUGAAAACAAACACCUAAUGGGAGCUGCUAGAUUAUCUUUGUGUCAUAUCCUCAGGUGAGUUUGUGAUCACCUGCUGCCCCUCCAGUGAGCAGCAGACAUACACAUAUAAUGACUCCUUAUCUGGUACCAUUUCUACCAUCCAGUAGUCACACCUGGUCUCCUUUAGAGUUAAAAGGUUUUAGGCUUUUGCCCCCAGGAACAGGAAAACCCAGAGAUAGACUCUUGCAUGUGGUAAUUAUUAUGUAGUGUCACUUUGGAAGCUGCAGUCAGGGGUCUAAAUAACUUAGCAGCACAGGCCAGUCUUAGAGGUGAAAAUAACAGAUCUUGUUUAUUACACUAGGGCUAAAUAUAAUCUACCAUGGAACUGGAAGAAUGAAAGAAAUUCUUUUAUUCAUAGAAACUGCUCAUAUUACCCUAUCUGUUUUAAGAGUAGCUUGAGCUUCUGAAUUAUUUACAAAUAGACAUAUGUUUUGUACUGUGACCUAUUUGUCUGUGUACUGUGACCUGUCCUUGGGGUAGGUUACUGGAAUGGCUUUGGGAGUCCCUCACUCCUUCCGAAAACUUUCUCUCCUCCAGAACGUCCCACGAUCUAUCUAUGUGAGGAACAUUUGAGGCUAGGGACACCAAGCUGAGCUCUCUUAAGGUUCCCUCCUCAAAGCUCUACUAACCCUUUUUAAGUUAGUCUACUCUCCAGGCAAGUCUAGCUGGACCUUCUGUCACCAUACCUAGAUCUCCCUUUCUCUUGAGAUCCAAUCUCCAGCUGUCACAAUGACCAAACUGCCUAGAGGUUCCAACCCCCCCACUUAGGAGUUUCUUCACACUUCCCCCCUUUCUUGGAUGACCAUCUCAAGCUUGCACCCAGUGCUGAGAUGUUUCCAUAAUGCCCCUAGCAUUCCUGCCAUGACAGUCCAUAUGAUUUUGCAUUCUUUGCUCCUUUCUGGUGCUGUAUGGUAAAAAGAGUAUUGAUGCAGAACUAUGCUCCAUUGUAACAGAUUUGCAUUAUCCUUGCAUACCCAGUGCAACCAUGACAGUGAGUUAUGAUCUGUCAUCACUGUGAACUCCCUCCCAUACAAAUAUGGCAUUCACUUCUUUAGUGACUAUACAAUGCCUAAGCAUUCAUUUUCCACAAUGACAUAUGCCUCCUCUCACAGUUGAAACUUGCUGCUCAAGUAAACCACUGGGUGCUCCCUCUCCCUAGAAUUUACUUGCCUGAGAACUGCCCUCAACCCAAACUUAGAUGCAUCUACGUGUACAUACAUUGUUGAUUAUAGUCCAGAGUGUAUAAUGCUGGAGCAUGGCAGAUAUUCAAAAAGAUAUUCAAAAGCCCUGUCACAAUUCCCUGUCUGUACAACUGUAUCAGGCAUUCUUUUUAGUAAAGCUUCCGGGGUGCUGGUAGUUACCUGUGACACCAGACUACUGCAACAAAUAUGUAUUCCUUGUAUUGCCUUUUGGCCUAAAGAAUGGACCCAAGAUAUUUCAGAGAAUGGUAAAUCGAAUUCUGAAAGCGACGUCAGGAUUCACAGCAGCCUGUAUGGAUGCAUUGCCAUAUUUAGUGAUAUGUAGGGUGAACAUCAUCAGACAAGUAUUACGGACGUUAGGGGUGGCGGGACUCUCAAUCAAAGCCAGCAAGUGCCAACUUGGAAGGGCUGCGGUGUCUUAUUUGGGACUUAGAGUGGGGAGCAGAAAGCUAAGCCUGAAAACUGCAAAGGUGCAGGUGAUCCAGGAGUGAGGUAGGCCGGAACAAAGUGGUAGGUGAGGGCAUUUCUAGGGACUGCAAGAUCCCGGGUUGCUGUCCAGGGUGUUCUCAUCUAGGAGGACUUCAAGGAUCCAGCAUGAGAUAACAAGAGUCUCAUGUGCCUAGACAUCCACUGCUCUUGGUUGCCUAGGAAACCUUGACUCACUCGCUGCCCUGCUUUUUUGAAUUUUCACACAUUCCAACUGUCCCUAUCAUUGGUAAAUCAAGUAAACGGUCCUUUCAACGGUUAUAUUCAGAUUCCCAACCGUCACUGGCCAAGUCAGUUAACUAGAUCUUUCAACUGUCAUCUUGAAAGUCCCGACCCUUUCAGGCCUGACAGCUGCCUCAGGAAAUUUGCUUGACCCAUCCACCAAGUUUCUCUGUUAGCAUCACCUCAGACUGGGUGUUUGCUAACUCUUCCAGCUAGAACAUUUUGCUUUCACUCUCUCCUUUCUGUCAGAACUUCUCCUCCUGAUAUAAUCCUGUUCCUGGCAGUGAUAGUCCACCAGCUUUCUGUGGUGAAAUUGUUUCCUGACAGGAAAUCUCCUCCCCUGAUAAUGUUGUCACACCAUUGACCCCAAAAUAUUAAAACAAAAUCACGCAAGUAUAUAUAGGUCCAGUAUAUGACCCCUCUUGAUGAACAGCUGACACAUAUACAUAUAAAUAUUUGGUGACUCUAUCUGGUACCAUUUCUGCCACCAUCCAGUAUUCAUGCCUUGUCUCUUUUAGGCUUGGAGUUAAAAGGUUUUAGGCUUUUGUCCCCAGGAACUGGAAAACCCAGAGAUAGACUCUUGCAUGUGGUAAUUAUUAUGUAGUGUCACUUUGGGAAGUUGUAGUCAGGGGUCUAAAUAACAUAGCAGCACAGACCAGGAUUAGUCUUAGAGAAAAUAACAGAUCAUGUUUAUUAUGGUAGGACUGGAACUGGAAGUAUGAAAGAAAUACUUUUAUUCACAGAAACCGCUCAUAUUACCCUAUCUGUUUUAAGACUAGUUGAGCUUCUUUGUUAUUUACAAAUAUUCAUGUCUGAUGUCACCUCUCAGCACCAACCCUUGCUACUGGGGUACUGGGAUGGCCUUGGAAGUCCCUCGCUUUCUCUGAGGAAUCUCUCUCUUCCAAAGCUCCCCACCUCUGUGGAGAGCAUCUGGGGCUCAGGACACCAAGUUGAGCUCUCCUCAGAGCUCUACUCUCCCAUCUUAAGUUAGCUUCCCUUUCCAGGCAAGUCUAGCCAGACCUUUGUCUGACCCUCUGGCUCCCUGUGCCCUUUGAGGCCCUGACACGUUCCCAGGUCCCUCCCCUUGAAGGAGGUGCAGUCCCCUCACUGACAAUCUUUAAAUCAGCAUUGGUGUUUCUGUAGCAGAUCUGCCCUAGAUACUGUGUUUGGGGGAAGCUCAUGCCCUGUGCUAUACAGGAGCUCAGGGGCACAAUGGCCUCUACUGGCCUUGGGAGUUAUGAAUCUAUGAGGGCUGCUCUCCAACUGUCUUCUUGACCCAACUGCCCGGAGACUCCACCCCCUCUGGCGAUGUCACUGCUGGUGAUGUCACCAGCCUCCGCAGGUCCUGUCUAUUGGAUUUGAUGUUUUAAAACCCUGUUGAGCGAUUGCUGGUGUUGCAUCCUGCAUACCACUGCUCAGCUGGCAGCCUCCACCAGGCAGUCUGCUGGCUGGAUCACUACAGCCCUUCUGGUCUGGUUGCUUUGGACACACUGAAGAAUAUUGUGUGCUUUAUGUAUAUCCCUUUGCUGCAGGAGUGAGAUAGAAGCACAUUUCCCCCUGUACUCAUAGCGAUCACUCCCAUGCUUGUCAGUGCCUGCUCUCAAGACAAUUUAUUAAGCUUCUGCUAUGAAACUUCAUUAGCAUGAUUUACAUCAGGGUUGCUUUAGGUUUGAAUAUAUUGCAGCCUAUAAAAAUCCUCAGCCCUUUUUGUCUCAAGCCUCUGAGAGUCAGUGACAGUGAUGGUACAGUUCUGAAUAGCAUAUCCUAUAGUGCUAGUGCCCAUCUUGCUCCUGGGUUGCUAUGGCAACACAAAGACUCAGAACGGGCAUAAUCAGAUUUUGUAGCACAAAGGAGAUCUUAUGCAGUGGAUCAGAAGUGUGUGGAAUAUGUAAUCUGUAAAUGUAAAAUUCUCCCCACACAUAUAGGAGAAAAAAUGAAGUAGGUUAGAAAAGCAUAGAAUCAUAGAUUCUAGGCCAGAAGGGACUACUAUGAUCAUCUAGUCUACUCUCCUGCAUAGCACAAGUCAUAGGCCUUCCGUAAAAUAAUUCCCAGAGCAGAUCUUUUAGAAAAAAAAUCCAAUCUUGAUUUAAAAAUGGUCAGUGAUAGAGAAUCCACGACCCUGGAUAAAUUGUUCUAAUGGUUAAUGACUCUCACCAUUAAAAAUGUACACCCUAUUUCCACUCUGAAUUUGUGUAGCUUCAACUUCCAGCCAUUGGAUUGCAAAGCCUUUCUCUGCAAGAUAGAAUACUAAAUAUGUGUGCCGCAUGUAGAUACUUAUAUGGUUCACUGUUGGGUCAUAUAUUUUUCAAAUCCAUAGUCCAAAGGCUCGGCUGAGGAUAUAUUUGUAUUACGUACCACAUAGUCUAUAUCUCUCCCACUUCAAUACUGAGUGUACCUCCCUACCUUUCAAGCUGCUGGUGUGUGACAUCAACAAUCAGAAUAUGCGACACCUGUAUUUUGUUAUGUGUUGUCCCAUUACAGACCGAUUAUAAUUUAAAAAAAAUAUAUAAACCUUGUUUUAAAGGAUGUUUUAAAAAAUCAAACACAGGUUAUUGAAUUUACACAGUGAGAACUGAAAAAAAUAAUUCACUCACAUGAAACUAUAACAACACACAAAGGUCAGCAGCAGCAGUUGAAGUCUGGCACUUCAAAUCCUCAGGGAUUUGGGAGGCUGGAGGGCAGAUUUUGGAUCUAUGAAUGAGCACAUUUAUAAAUUAUUUGUAAAAAAUCUUUUGCUCAAAGCUGUGCUGUACAAGUUCAGGACCUCUGUGAGAAUACAGACAAAAAAGAGAGCUAAAUCUGUGAUUAUAAUUUGUUUUGUUUAGAUGUUUGGAGCAUUUUUGCCAGCCAGAUCUAUUAUGAUGUAUACUGGGCCAGUCUCCUCUCCUCCAUUUGCCAAAUAAAUCUUUAACAAAGGCAAAAUGUAUUACUUCUAGCCUUUCAACGAAGCGGUGAGAGUUCACAAGAAAAGCUGCACUGUGAUAGAAAACGGGUCACCCAGACUUGACAUUCCUGCCAUUUCUAAGGUAAAACACAAGCAGAAAUUCCCCGGCAAGUUUUCCCUUAAAAAAAAAUCAUUUAUCCAUCACAAAGGAGCAAAAAAGGGUGCACCUCCCUCCCCCAUUUAAAAAAAACAAGACUCUUUGCAGGUUACCUUUACCUGUCCAUGUGAAGCUCAAUAUCCCCCCAGUUGAGAGGUGGGGGCAGGGAAUCAUUAAGUUUUGAUUAGCACUUAUGGCAAAAAACAAGCUACAGAGGAGAAAUGUCUGUUUCUAAAGACAGCGCCUAGUUUUUGGUUUCCAGAUACUGUUGUUAUGGUACAUUCAAUGUGUGUGGGCUUGUUUGAUAACCAGCAUUUUCAUAUCAAGCAUGUAAAUAAUUAUAUACUGAAUCAGCUGACAUUCAGCCUAACGCACAGAUGGCCAGGGAGAUAACAGGGUGAUCAUCCAGGUUAAUUCUAGACAUAGGCCUGCCCUGAACUGAAACUCUCAGAUUUAUGAGUGCUGCAAACGCGGGAGAUAUUCAGAACCUCAUUCAAACCAUGGCUCUUAUGGUCCCAAUCCUGUGACUAGAUUUGUGUGGGAGUCCUGUCUGUAUCUCUCCUCUCAUCCUCUUACAGAAUCUUUACUGGGAAAUCACUUUUCCUGUAGCUUGCUAACUGCCAAAGAUUUCUGUAGAAACCACUUCAAAUUGCACAGAAACAGCUGAGACCAGACUGAACAACAGGGUUGAGGAGACUGACUAGUUUGUAUACUGAAUAGCUGCUGGCAAGACGUGAGUGAGUAUUGCAAUAGAGAUCUCCCCUAGGGUAUUAGUCAUCAUCUCCUAUUUCCAAUGUCAAGGUUGGGUAAGGCUGACUUUUGUCAGUUUCUUGGCUUUGGUACUUAGACUGCCAGCCACCUCGAGGCUAGGCCCAUUUUAUAGCUGGGGAACUGAGGCAAAGAGAGGCUAAGUGAAUUGCCCACGGGCAUGCAGGAUGUUUGUGGCACGGCAUGAACCUAAACCCAGGUACCCUAGGCAGAGCCCUAACCACCAAAUCAUUCUUCUUCUCUUUAGGAUAUUAGUGGUAUCACAAAAGCAGCCCCACCCCUCUCUGUUGGAUUGCAGCAGCAGUGUAAAGCACCCAAACCAACACAAAGUGUGCACUCAUCAGCACCUUGGCCCAGUGCUGCAAUAGCCCCAAGUGAUAAAAAGGAUGCUAAAGAAACAAACAGGAAAAUCCCCCAGCCCCUCUAAACUUCAGGUAAAUUCAGACUCAAAUAUGAUCUGAAUUUCACUGCUUAGUCCUCUCUCUAUUCCUAAUCUACAGAAGUAAGCAAAGUUCAGGUUCUUCCGAGAUAUGCACAUUUUGCCCAUUACCAACCCUCUGAGCCAACUACGAUUCCUUAUCGCUAAGCCCGACAUGGUGUGACAAAGUGGGAUUUGUUCAUAAUGUUUUGUAUGGAUAUUAUGUGUGCCUGGACAUUUGGUACCUAGCAACUAACCAGCAUGGAUGGCAGAUACCUCUGCGGGAAGCCAGCCUGUUGUGACCACCUGAAGAACAAAAGAUUGAGGAGGAGCUGUGAAG
Molecule: long non-coding RNA, 9950 nt
Organism: Dermochelys coriacea (leatherback sea turtle)
Lineage: Eukaryota; Metazoa; Chordata; Testudines; Dermochelyidae
Exons: 6
Source: RefSeq, a predicted model, not a curated record